ACGGGACAGCGGGCGAGGGACCGCGGCGGGGUCACCCUCCGCACCGCGCGGGCCUCGGUUCGCCUGCACUUGGUGCAGAGCGUCUUACUGUCCCUCACUGAAACAGAAAACCUCGCGCCAAAAGCUUAUUUUAGUUCCCAGUCUCAGGUAAAUUUCCUGUCACAAGUGCCAGUAAAGUGGACACAGCCUUGCAAGACUUUCUGCUUUCCUUGGACAGGGACCUGUAAACUUUCCAGCCCCCUGAGGCACCUGGAACUGGCCAACCCUGUAGUAGUUAAUGGAUGAAAAGGUUUCCAUCCUGAAGAGGCAGUGCAGAGAAAGGAUGGACGAAUCAUGGAAGGAGACAGUUAUAUCCCUGUAAGAGCCAUAAAGCUGAACACUUAAAUACACACUCGGCCCCGGGCACGUCAGUGGUUCCACUGGAGUGAAGAAAAAUAAUAAUUUGAUAACAUAGAGAAACAGUAUUCUGGACACUGCAACAGAAAAGGAUUCAGGUACAAUAAAAGGAUGUUAUCAGCUGAGACUGAUUCACUCAUUUGAGACAAUCUUUCUCAAAAAAAGAAGCCUGCUAACAUAAAUUUGUGUUUGAACACCAAGAAACAGCUCUCUCCAUUUUGAAAUACCUUUCUGCUUUUCAUACAUCCCACAGCAAAGCGAACUGUUGUGCUCCAAGGCAGGAAAACACUAAUGGUGUUUAAAUGCUAUUACCACAAGAGCACUUUAAUUUGCUUCCUUUACAUUUCAGACAACUUAUCAUUGUUCUAUCAGCAAAGCAGAUUCUAUGGAAAUGAAAAGGGCUAAAAGAAAAAUGGUGUGCCUUUCAUCGUCUCCUUUGUAGCGACGCUGGAGUUAGACACAGCCAGGAUAUACGGGCAGAACAAACACUGGUUUGAGCGUAUCAGCCACGUAAUAACAGGGCACAAUCACUGAGGAAUACUCUGUAAAUGUUGAAGAUGCUGAAUAGACUAAUCUCCAGCACUUCCAGCCCCCACCCAGGGCAGACGUUCUGCAAACAACCUGAAAAUCAACUCACUGCAGCAACAGCUCCCUGAAGAACUGAAGACAUUUUUCAGAAAAGAGCUCCACAGCUUUACAGAGGCUGAAUAAUAUGAAAUAAUAAACAUUUAUUUAAUAA
This is a long non-coding RNA of Chiroxiphia lanceolata (lance-tailed manakin), 1135 nucleotides long. RefSeq lists it as uncharacterized. Lineage: Eukaryota; Metazoa; Chordata; Aves; Passeriformes; Pipridae. The record is from RefSeq and is a predicted model, not a curated record. The transcript is spliced from 2 exons.